CAUGCACUCAUUAUGAGUUGAUUCUCGACAUGAUUCGGGUCCGCUUGUCGGGUUCGCAUAUUGGGUUCUUUUAAUCAGCAACAAUGUUGAUCAGUGGAUCUAGUUACUCAAUAAUUCCUGACAAUAAAUGACAGUAUAAGUAUGACUGUAUAAUGAAUAAAUCAAAUUGACAAAGUUUGUCAAGGCAAAAUAUUGUGCUAUGUGCCUUCUAUAAAUAAAUAAUUUAUUUUGUUAUGUGAUAAAUGACAUGUUGCAUAGAUCAACAAUAUAUUAGGUAUUGCCUAAAUGUGUGUGUAUAUAUAUAUAAUCAUGAAUAAAUGAUUUAUUCAGUUGUUUGAUAAAUGACAUGCUGCAUAAAUCAAUAAUAUAUUAGGUAUUGCCUAAAUAUGUAGGUUAUUAGAAUAUAUAUAUUAGCCACAAUGGGGAUAUAAAAUGGCAGGCAGUUUCAUGAGGUGCCAUAAUCAUCACAUAUUGUAUUCGUCUGUUACUGUUCAUGUCAUGUGACACCACACACCAUCACUCUCUGCAUGUACUUAUAUAUAUAUAUAUAUAUAAUAUAUUAUAUAUAUAUAUAUAUAUAUAUAUAUAUAUAAUAUAUUAGCAUGGCAGACAAGGUGUGGCAGAAAUAUUUAAAGUGGAAGCUAAUAAUAAAAGUGUUAGGAAAAAUGUUCUUAUAUGUGAGUUUUUUUCUUUUUCCUUUGUGAGAGUGGUUGACAUCAAAAGCGAAAGCAAAGGCAUCUUAUCUUUCUUUUGAAUUUGGUGGUCUGUAGCUUUUGAUAAAGCUUCAUGCACGCUCUAGCCUUGAGAAGGCGGGGAACAAACAGAAGAUAACAACCACAGAGAUCCCAGGGAAUAAUAAUUGAAAUCCUCUAUAGAAUAAUAGGUGGUGUCCACCAUAGCAUCAAACAUGCGCAUCUGACCACUGGUCUUCCUCGUGAGUGUUUCCAUCGGUGGUCGUGGUAUUUGCAGGAGGUGGGAUCCCUAUAUCUGGAACUGGGCCAUUGCCUCUUCAGUGACGGACGGCGGAGAACAGAAAUGGACAGUGUAGGCA
RNAcentral lists this long non-coding RNA (1051 nucleotides) under Malus domestica (apple). RNAcentral's name for it is "long non-coding RNA (MDOM_LNC011163)". The record is from RNAcentral. Lineage: Eukaryota; Viridiplantae; Streptophyta; Magnoliopsida; Rosales; Rosaceae.